GAUGAACGCUAGCUACAGGCUUAACACAUGCAAGUCGAGGGGCAGCAUGAAAGGAACUUCGGUUCUUUUUGAUGGCGACCGGCGCACGGGUGCGUAACGCGUAUCGAACCUGCCUCAUACUCGGGGAUAGCCUUGCGAAAGUAAGAUUAAUACCCGGCGGUCUCGGAUGGCCGCAUGACUAUCCGAGUGAAGAUUUAUCGGUAUGAGAUGGCGAUGCGUCCCAUUAGCUAGUUGGUGAGGUAACGGCUCACCAAGGCAUCGAUGGGUAGGGGUUCUGAGAGGAAGGUCCCCCACAUUGGAACUGAGACACGGUCCAAACUCCUACGGGAGGCAGCAGUGAGGAAUAUUGGUCAAUGGGCGAGAGCCUGAACCAGCCAAGUAGCGUGAAGGAUGACUGCCCUAUGGGUUGUAAACUUCUUUUAUAAAGGAAUAAAGUCGGGUAUGCAUACCCGUUUGCAUGUACUUUAUGAAUAAGGAUCGGCUAACUCCGUGCCAGCAGCCGCGGUAAUACGGAGGAUCCGAGCGUUAUCCGGAUUUAUUGGGUUUAAAGGGAGCGUAGAUGGAUGUUUAAGUCAGUUGUGAAAGUUUGCGGCUCAACCGUAAAAUUGCAGUUGAUACUGGAUAUCUUGAGUGCAGUUGAGGCAGGCGGAAUUCGUGGUGUAGCGGUGAAAUGCUUAGAUAUCACGAAGAACUCCGAUUGCGAAGGCAGCCUGCUAAGCUGCAACUGACAUUGAGGCUCGAAAGUGUGGGUAUCAAACAGG
Molecule: ribosomal RNA, 761 nt
Filed under: uncultured bacterium
Lineage: Bacteria
Description: bacterial SSU rRNA
Rfam family: Bacterial small subunit ribosomal RNA
Source: RNAcentral